GAACUGCUCUAUUUUCAACGAUUUCACUUUUAGUAUCAAGAUUAUUGUUUUGAACAAAUGUGCGAUCCAUUCUGGUUUAGCCAACUACUGAGCAGUACUAACAAACUAUUUCUGAAAUCUGCCACAUCUUUCCAUUAGUAAGCUUGCAGAACAAAAGGCAAAAUUAAUAUACCUGGGAACUUGGUUUUGUGAGCAAGUAAUGGUAAUAAAAAUAGUAAA
Long non-coding RNA from Perognathus longimembris pacificus (Pacific pocket mouse), 219 nucleotides. RefSeq lists it as uncharacterized. The transcript has 2 exons. NCBI's taxonomy places the organism in Eukaryota, Metazoa, Chordata, Mammalia, Rodentia, Heteromyidae. The record is from RefSeq and is a predicted model, not a curated record.